Molecule: ribosomal RNA, 1554 nt
Filed under: Escherichia coli
Lineage: Bacteria; Pseudomonadati; Pseudomonadota; Gammaproteobacteria; Enterobacterales; Enterobacteriaceae
Description: bacterial SSU rRNA
Rfam family: Bacterial small subunit ribosomal RNA
Source: RNAcentral
AAAUUGAAGAGUUUGAUCAUGGCUCAGAUUGAACGCUGGCGGCAGGCCUAACACAUGCAAGUCGAACGGUAACAGGAAGCAGCUUGCUGCUUUGCUGACGAGUGGCGGACGGGUGAGUAAUGUCUGGGAAACUGCCUGAUGGAGGGGGAUAACUACUGGAAACGGUAGCUAAUACCGCAUAACGUCGCAAGACCAAAGAGGGGGACCUUCGGGCCUCUUGCCAUCGGAUGUGCCCAGAUGGGAUUAGCUAGUAGGUGGGGUAACGGCUCACCUAGGCGACGAUCCCUAGCUGGUCUGAGAGGAUGACCAGCCACACUGGAACUGAGACACGGUCCAGACUCCUACGGGAGGCAGCAGUGGGGAAUAUUGCACAAUGGGCGCAAGCCUGAUGCAGCCAUGCCGCGUGUAUGAAGAAGGCCUUCGGGUUGUAAAGUACUUUCAGCGGGGAGGAAGGGAGUAAAGUUAAUACCUUUGCUCAUUGACGUUACCCGCAGAAGAAGCACCGGCUAACUCCGUGCCAGCAGCCGCGGUAAUACGGAGGGUGCAAGCGUUAAUCGGAAUUACUGGGCGUAAAGCGCACGCAGGCGGUUUGUUAAGUCAGAUGUGAAAUCCCCGGGCUCAACCUGGGAACUGCAUCUGAUACUGGCAAGCUUGAGUCUCGUAGAGGGGGGUAGAAUUCCAGGUGUAGCGGUGAAAUGCGUAGAGAUCUGGAGGAAUACCGGUGGCGAAGGCGGCCCCCUGGACGAAGACUGACGCUCAGGUGCGAAAGCGUGGGGAGCAAACAGGAUUAGAUACCCUGGUAGUCCACGCCGUAAACGAUGUCGACUUGGAGGUUGUGCCCUUGAGGCGUGGCUUCCGGAGCUAACGCGUUAAGUCGACCGCCUGGGGAGUACGGCCGCAAGGUUAAAACUCAAAUGAAUUGACGGGGGCCCGCACAAGCGGUGGAGCAUGUGGUUUAAUUCGAUGCAACGCGAAGAACCUUACCUGGUCUUGACAUCCACAGAACUUUCCAGAGAUGGAUUGGUGCCUUCGGGAACUGUGAGACAGGUGCUGCAUGGCUGUCGUCAGCUCGUGUUGUGAAAUGUUGGGUUAAGUCCCGCAACGAGCGCAACCCUUAUCCUUUGUUGCCAGCGGUCCGGCCGGGAACUCAAAGGAGACUGCCAGUGAUAAACUGGAGGAAGGUGGGGAUGACGUCAAGUCAUCAUGGCCCUUACGACCAGGGCUACACACGUGCUACAAUGGCGCAUACAAAGAGAAGCGACCUCGCGAGAGUAAGCGGACCUCAUAAAGUGCGUCGUAGUCCGGAUUGGAGUCUGCAACUCGACUCCAUGAAGUCGGAAUCGCUAGUAAUCGUGGAUCAGAAUGCCACGGUGAAUACGUUCCCGGGCCUUGUACACACCGCCCGUCACACCAUGGGAGUGGGUUGCAAAAGAAGUAGGUAGCUUAACCUUCGGGAGGGCGCUUACCACUUUGUGAUUCAUGACUGGGGUGAAGUCGUAACAAGGUAACCGUAGGGGAACCUGCGGUUGGAUCACCUCCUUACCUUAAAGAAGC